This is a long non-coding RNA of Cyprinus carpio carpio, 466 nucleotides long. NCBI's taxonomy places the organism in Eukaryota, Metazoa, Chordata, Actinopteri, Cypriniformes, Cyprinidae. The record is from Ensembl.
AAUUAAGCCACUUCCCCAAGAUACUGAAUAUAUAAUUCUUAAUCUUUUUCCCCUUGCACCCUAAGCCACAGGUAAAGGAGCCACACAAGCCCCACCCUCUACCCUGGCCAAAAAAGAAGAAAACAAAAAGUUGCAAAUGCAGUCGACAGACAAUUUAUCCAUACGAUAAAAUAUUGGAAAGACGGAUGAAUGGGGGGAAGGCAGCAGAGGUCAAAGUGCACUGGCUACCUUGCUCUUCCUGUGGCAGAGUCUGGGAGGACACCUGGGAGCCGGCCAGCAAAUUCGCCUGAUGACCAAUACUGUUGUACUAUUUGUUUUGUAUAUAUUUGUCAAUAAUUAAAUUCACUAUUGUUACAUUUUAUGAUUUGUCUGUCAAUCAAUGACUGCACUGAAUAAUUAAUGUGUCAUGACUUUGUGCUGUAUUUGGAAAAGUUAAAUAGCUGAAAGUUGCAUGUAGUGACAGUCA